Molecule: ribosomal RNA, 468 nt
Filed under: uncultured bacterium
Lineage: Bacteria
Description: partial 16S ribosomal RNA
Rfam family: Bacterial small subunit ribosomal RNA
Source: RNAcentral
GACGAACGCUGGCGGCGUGCUUAACACAUGCAAGUCGAACGGUGAAGCUCCAGCUUGCUGGAGUGGAUCAGUGGCGAACGGGUGAGUAACACGUGAGCAACCUGCCCCUGACUCUGGAAUAAGCGCUGGAAACGGCGUCUAAUACUGGAUACGAGAAGGGUCCGCAUGGGCACUUUCUGGAAAGUUUUUCGGUUGGGGAUGGGCUCGCGGCCUAUCAGCUUGUUGGUGAGGUAAUGGCCCACCAAGGCGACGACGGGUAGCCGGCCUGAGAGGGCGACCGGCCACACUGGGACUGAGACACGGCCCAGACUCCUACGGGAGGCAGCAGUGGGGAAUAUUGCACAAUGGGCGAAAGCCUGAUGCAGCGACGCCGCGUGAGGGAUGACGGCCUUCGGGUUGUAAACCUCUUUCAGCAGGGAAGAAGCGAAAGUGACGGUACCUGAAGAAGAAGCACCGGCUAACUACGUG